RNAcentral lists this ribosomal RNA (21 nucleotides) under Allocassine laurifolia. RNAcentral describes it as "partial 26S ribosomal RNA". The record is from RNAcentral. Lineage: Eukaryota; Viridiplantae; Streptophyta; Magnoliopsida; Celastrales; Celastraceae.
AAGCGACCCCAGUCAGGCGAC